Molecule: long non-coding RNA, 350 nt
Filed under: Setaria viridis
Lineage: Eukaryota; Viridiplantae; Streptophyta; Magnoliopsida; Poales; Poaceae
Description: long non-coding RNA (SVIR_LNC008172)
Source: RNAcentral
AAGAGGACGCCAGGGGGGAGAUUCAGGGGGAUAACGAAAAUGGGCCAACAGGUGUACGGGGCGGCCGCCAUUCCAUAAGGAUUGAACCCAUCAGUUGCCAACGCAACGCGUACGUUACGGGCCUCUAGAGCUCUUGCAGGAUAAAUCGCAUCAAAGCUUUUCCAGGCUUCAGCAUCGGAUGGGUGUACCAGCUUAUCAGGAUUAUAGCGACGGCCGUUUUUGUGCCAUGUCAUCUGUUUCGCAGAUUCUUCAGUCAUGAAAAGCUGUUGGAUCCUCGGUAUGAAAGGAAGAUACCGUAGAACCUUCACAGGAAUUGCGAGCUGCUUUUUCUGACCGUCACCACAGUCUAC